Molecule: long non-coding RNA, 1362 nt
Organism: Pecten maximus
Lineage: Eukaryota; Metazoa; Mollusca; Bivalvia; Pectinida; Pectinidae
Exons: 4
Source: RefSeq, a predicted model, not a curated record
AACACAAUUUGUGAGCUUAUUUAGUUGUGCGAGUCCUUAAAGGAGGAUGUACCUAGCUAAUGCGCUAUAUGCCCGUUUUAUGGAUGCUGCAAUUCACAGAAAGUGUAUUAAUAAAAAGAGCAACUAUUUUAAUACAGUAGCUGAAUUCAGCUAUAUAUGGCAAUGUUUUUAAAUCCGGUUUACAUAUAUUUUUAUCAUUAUUUAUGAUGGAUUUCACUCCACUGAAGUGUGCAAAUUUAGCUCAAAACUAAUAAACUUUCAACUUUCACACAUUUAACCAUGUCAAAUGAGAAUUUUCCAUUACUUUCUAUGUUAAUUUUUGAUGAAAUCCAUAUAAAAAGUGUAUUUGAGAAAAAAACGGAAUAUGGGGACUUCAUGUUAUUAAUUUGCAGCAGAAUGUUAUAAUUUACUUCAGAACAUUAGAGUUUGUAGUUACAGAACAAAAGUUCCUAAGCUAAGUAGGUCUUGCCUCUUUAAACUUUUUUACUCUCACUGCAGUAUCAUUGCAGUCUCAAUUAAUUUUGUCUGAUUUGAAUCCAAUUGUUUUGGUUAGUUGUGAUGAAAGUAUUACAAAUGAUUACUUGAGAUUAUUUAAUAUUUAUUCACUAUUGCAAGCACUAGUUAAAAAAUCCACCAGUUUGUGUUCCAGGAACACCAACUUUGGUCAAUGGCUGGUACCUGUUUGACCAGUGAGUGACAAAAUAUGUUUUAUGAUGAAAUAAUUCUAUCUAGCCACUGCAAGUCUUUGUCAUUUACAGGUUUCCAUCAGAAACUAAUAUUGGUGAGCCAGGAACAUCAGCAUCAGAUGCAAUUGAGGAAGAAAUUGGUGAGGGUGUAACCUUACAUAAAGUUUCAUCAGAAGAGGCGGAUGUACUCAUGCCCUUGUUCCCUGAAGAACAGAAGACAGAAGCAGGUACAAAGAAAAGAGGGAAGAAAAGGAAAUCAAAUGAGGCUGUAACCUUACAUAAAGUUUCAUCAGAAGAGGCAGAGUUACUCAUGCCCUUGUUCCCUGAAGUACAGAAGACAGAAGGUAAAUAUGAAGCUGGAAAUAUUGGUUACAUGGUUUGUUAGUGACUCAAUAUGGAAUAUACAGAGUCCUUUAAGUGAACUUACCAGGGGAGACAUCACUAAGAAACCAUGUAACCAAUUUACUUCACUGAUGACCUUUUGAAAUUACAAAUAACUAUUUACAGAUACAUAUUAAGUACUUGAAAGUAAGCUCUCUGGUAUAAUUUAGAAAUGCCUUAAUUUACUUUUCUGCUCACAUUUGGUUUCGGAAAAAAUAGUUUAAUAACAAAAUAUUGAUAACUAUGAGAGAGAAAACAACACAUUUUGAAGCUGUUAUCGUCUAAAUAUAGCAAA